GGAACUAUACAAGGGUGAUCUGACUGCAGCAUUUAUCACCCCAUUUGGUAACCAGGGUUGAUUCAGCUGAUUUGGCUGGCUAGGUAGGUGUCCAUUCUUCCCUUGCCACUCCAUGUGUGUCCCUCCUGAAUUGCAUGUUUGGUCAAAGAGAAUGACCCUCCUUAAUAGAGGAGGAUCAUUCCAUUCUUUGGUUAAAGGUAUACACGUAACUGCACUCCCCUGCUAGAACCUCCAAUCAAGCUCUCAAGAAUACUGGAAAAAUAUGAAAGGGGAAAAAAAUGAAUGAACUAGGAUAUGCAUUGCAGGAGUAU
Molecule: small nuclear RNA, 311 nt
Filed under: Castor canadensis (American beaver)
Lineage: Eukaryota; Metazoa; Chordata; Mammalia; Rodentia; Castoridae
Description: 7SK RNA (ENSCCNG00000008044.1)
Rfam family: 7SK RNA
About the family: 7SK was discovered as an abundant small nuclear RNA in the mid-70s but a possible function has only recently been suggested.
Source: RNAcentral